AGUGAACGCUGGCGGUAGGCCUAACACAUGCAAGUCGAACGGCAGCACAGUAAGAGCUUGCUCUUACGGGUGGCGAGUGGCGGACGGGUGAGGAAUACAUCGGAAUCUACUUUUUCGUGGGGGAUAACGUAGGGAAACUUACGCUAAUACCGCAUACGACCUACGGGUGAAAGCAGGGGAUCCUCGGACCUUGCGCGAUUGAAUGAGCCGAUGUCGGAUUAGCUAGUUGGCGGGGUAAAGGCCCACCAAGGCGACGAUCCGUAGCUGGUCUGAGAGGAUGAUCAGCCACACUGGAGCUGAGACACGGUCCAGACUCCUACGGGAGGCAGCAGUGGGGAAUAUUGGACAAUGGGCGCAAGCCUGAUCCAGCCAUACCGCGUGGGUGAAGAAGGCCUUCGGGUUGUAAAGCCCUUUUGUUGGGAAAGAAAAGCAGCAGGUUAAUACCCCGCUGUUCUGACGGUACCCAAAGAAUAAGCACCGGCUAACUUCGUG
Molecule: ribosomal RNA, 492 nt
Filed under: uncultured bacterium
Lineage: Bacteria
Description: partial 16S ribosomal RNA
Rfam family: Bacterial small subunit ribosomal RNA
Source: RNAcentral